This 279-nucleotide ribosomal RNA is filed under the name uncultured bacterium. Its description in RNAcentral is "partial 16S ribosomal RNA". It matches the Rfam family "Bacterial small subunit ribosomal RNA", at positions 506 to 784 of the family's 1533-position model. The record is from RNAcentral.
UGCCAGCCGCCGCGGUAAUACAGAGGGUGCGAGCGUUAAUCGGAAUUACUGGGCGUAAAGCGUGCGUAGGCGGUUAAUUAAGUCAGAUGUGAAAGCCCUGGGCUCAACCUGGGAAUUGCAUUUGAUACUGGUUAACUUGAGUAUGGGAGAGGGAAGUGGAAUUUCCGGUGUAGCGGUGAAAUGCGUAGAUAUCGGAAGGAACACCAGUGGUGAAGGCGGCUAACUGGACUGAUACUGACGCUGAGGUGCGAAAGUGUGGGGAGCAAACAGGAUUAGAUA